RNAcentral lists this ribosomal RNA (471 nucleotides) under uncultured organism. RNAcentral describes it as "partial 16S ribosomal RNA". It matches the Rfam family "Bacterial small subunit ribosomal RNA", at positions 335 to 797 of the family's 1533-position model. The record is from RNAcentral.
ACUCCUACGGGAGGCAGCAGUGGGGAAUUUUGGACAAUGGGCGAAAGCCUGAUCCAGCAAUGCCGCGUGAGUGAAGAAGGCCUUCGGGUUGUAAAGCUCUUUUGUCAGGGAAGAAACGGUGAAAGCUAAUAUCUUUUGCUAAUGACGGUACCUGAAGAAUAAGCACCGGCUAACUACGUGCCAGCAGCCGCGGUAAUACGUAGGGUGCAAGCGUUAAUCGGAAUUACUGGGCGUAAAGCGUGCGCAGGCGGUUUUGUAAGUCUGAUGUGAAAUCCCCGGGCUCAACCUGGGAAUUGCAUUGGAGACUGCAAGGCUAGAAUCUGGCAGAGGGGGGUAGAAUUCCACGUGUAGCAGUGAAAUGCGUAGAUAUGUGGAGGAACACCGAUGGCGAAGGCAGCCCCCUGGGUCAAGAUUGACGCUCAUGCACGAAAGCGUGGGGAGCAAACAGGAUUAGAAACCCCGGUAGUCCCA